GACGAACGCUGGCGGCGGGCUUAACACAUGCAAGUCGAACGGAAAGGCCCUGCUUGUGUGGGGUGCUCGAGUGGCGAACGGGUGAGUAACACGUGAGUAACCUGCCCUUGACUGUGGGAUAACUUCAGGAAACUGGGGCUAAUACCUGAUAGGAGCUCCUGCUGCAGGGGGGGGGUUGGAAAGUUUCGGCGGUUGGGGAUGGACGCGCGGCUUAUCAGCUGGUUGGUGGGGUAGUGGCUUACCAAGGCUUUGACGGGUAGCCGGCAUGAGAGGGUGACCGGCCACAUUGGGCCUGAGAUACGGCCCAGACUGCAACGGGAGGCAGCAGUGGGGAAUCUUGCCCAAUGGGCGGACGCCUGAUGCAGAAACGCCGCGUGCGGGAUGACGGCCUUCGGGUUGUAAACCGCUGUAGCCUGUGACGAAGCGGGAGUGACGGUAAUGGGUAAAGAAGCACCGGCUAACUACGUG
This 468-nucleotide ribosomal RNA is filed under the name uncultured bacterium. Its description in RNAcentral is "partial 16S ribosomal RNA". It matches the Rfam family "Bacterial small subunit ribosomal RNA", at positions 28 to 507 of the family's 1533-position model. The record is from RNAcentral.